GGUGGGGGAACUGAACCAGGGGUCCGAUCCCCACAUGGGAGCAAUUGUCUGAGUCAGAAGAGAAACAUUUAAGGCUGAGAGUGAAAGAGCUGAUCCGUGGCAGCCUAAAUGGGAUGAGAAUCAGUCCUUCCACAGCCAUGCAUAUCCAGGACAGAGUCGCGGAUCCCCUGGAAGGUGUAGCAGCUGGGAGCUGGAGUUUAGGGAUUGUGGAGCAAUCCUACUUCCUGUGGAGUGAGGGCUGCUGUUGACUGCGGAGAGAUGGAUUGAAGGGAUACUCUGAUGGCGCCAUAACUCUUGUGGUGGAGGCAGUCCAUGUCCUGUGCACUUGGCACCGCCAGGGUCCCCAAAAGCCAAGCAGCUGCACCACUUUCACACUCAGCUCUCACUGGGGCAGAGCUGCUACAGGCAAAAAAAUGUCUUGCAUCUAUGCGUGCAGGGUUGCUUCAGUCGUAUCCGACUGGCUCUUUGCACCCCUGUGGCCUGUAGCCUGCCAGACUGCUCUGUCAGGGAGAGGGGUUCUCCAGGCAAGAAUGCUGGAGCAUAUUGGCUGAUACUGCUCGCCAUAACCUUCAAGAGCACUAUAUUUCCUGCUGCCCUAGCUGCAAACUCCCCUGAGUACCUGGUGCUGCCAGAACCCUUGUGACCCAAGCAGCUGCACCACCUCCACACCUGGCCCUCAUAGGGGCAAAGCCAAGUCCUCCAGGGCAGCUGCAGGAGCAAACCUCAGUGGAGGACCCACAUGCAGAGGUGGAAAUAAAACCACAAUUGAAACCCAGGGGCGCUGUGACUAAGGAAGAAGACCCAAAACCCUCCCACCAGUUGUAUAAGCUGCAGAAUAAAUCCACAUGAUCAACAAGGCAGACUCUGUGUCUAUGGAAUAUAUAAAAGGUCAUUGAGAGCUCCCACAAAAGAAAACACAGUAGUUCAGAUAGCAGUGGACAUUGGAGGCAAGAACACAGAGGAGUAGGACCAGAUUAGAAUCUGAGCAGCCCACACAACAGGCCCAGAGAUCAGCACAGUGUUGGAGGGCAUCCUAGGGAGGUGAGGUGGACUGUGACUCCCAGUGAGGGAAAGGACUCUGACAGCAGCGACUCAAGAAAAACAUUUAUUAUUCUUAUGUUUUGAUUGUUCUAUAG
Molecule: long non-coding RNA, 1136 nt
Organism: Bos taurus (domestic cattle)
Lineage: Eukaryota; Metazoa; Chordata; Mammalia; Artiodactyla; Bovidae
Source: Ensembl